AUUGAACGCUGGCGGCAGGCCUAACACAUGCAAGUCGAACGGUAACAGGAAGAAGCUUGCUUCUUUGCUGACGAGUGGCGGACGGGUGAGUAAUGUCUGGGAAACUGCCUGAUGGAGGGGGAUAACUACUGGAAACGGUAGCUAAUACCGCAUAACGUCGCAAGACCAAAGAGGGGGACCUUCGGGCCUCUUGCCAUCGGAUGUGCCCAGAUGGGAUUAGCUAGUAGGUGGGGUAACGGCUCACCUAGGCGACGAUCCCUAGCUGGUCUGAGAGGAUGACCAGACACACUGGAACUGAGACACGGUCCAGACUCCUACGGGAGGCAGCAGUGGGGAAUAUUGCACAAUGGGCGCAAGCCUGAUGCAGCCAUGCCGCGUGUAUGAAGAAGGCCUUCGGGUUGUAAAGUACUUUCAGCGGGGAGGAAGGGAGUAAAGUUAAUACCUUUACUCAUUGACGUUACCCGCAGAAGAAGCACCGGCUAACUCCGUG
Molecule: ribosomal RNA, 490 nt
Filed under: uncultured bacterium
Lineage: Bacteria
Description: partial 16S ribosomal RNA
Rfam family: Bacterial small subunit ribosomal RNA
Source: RNAcentral